GGCUCGUCUGACUUUGUUACUUAUUGUUCUUCUCUCUAUUGCUUUUGUGAUUGUGAGCGGAGGUAAUGAUACGAACUCCUCUACAACUCCAGCAACGCCGAAGAUGCCAAAUGCUAAGCCACCUUCAGUGCCUGGGGCAACGACUGUAACCAAAUUAAUAGAAGCAGCUGAAGAAAUACCGAAAGCAAUAGUAAACACUUGUGUUGACACCUUUGAAGCGUUCGGAAGUUUAUUUGGUAAUCCAUUUGGUUAAAAGAAGAUCCGUUAUAAAUGAUUUCAUUAU
Molecule: long non-coding RNA, 283 nt
Organism: Papilio machaon (common yellow swallowtail)
Lineage: Eukaryota; Metazoa; Arthropoda; Insecta; Lepidoptera; Papilionidae
Exons: 3
Source: RefSeq, a predicted model, not a curated record